CUACGGGUGGCAGCAGUGGGGAAUAUUGGACAAUGGGGGAAACCCUGAUCCAGCAAUGCCGCGUGUGUGAAGAAGGCCUGCGGGUUGUAAAGCACUUUCGGUUGGGAGGACUGCUUCUAGCACUAAUAUUGUUGGAAGUUGACGUUACCUUCAGAAGAAGCACCGGCUAACUCCGUGCCAGCAGCCGCGGUAAUACGGAGGGUGCAAGCGUUAAUCGGAAUUACUGGGCGUAAGCGCGCGUAGGCGGCUAGAUCAGUCGGGUGUGAAGCCCCGGGCUUAACCUGGGAACUGCAUCCGAUACUGUCUAGCUUGAGUACAGGAGAGGAGAGUGGAAUUCCACAUGUAGCGGUGAAAUGCGUAGAUAUGUGGAGGAACACCAAUGGCGAAGGCAGCUCUCUGGCCUGAUACUGACGCUGAGGCGCGAAAGCGUGGGGAGCAAACAGGAUUAGAUACCCCAGUAGUC
This 463-nucleotide ribosomal RNA is filed under the name uncultured bacterium. Its description in RNAcentral is "partial 16S ribosomal RNA". It matches the Rfam family "Bacterial small subunit ribosomal RNA", at positions 339 to 795 of the family's 1533-position model. The record is from RNAcentral.